Molecule: long non-coding RNA, 499 nt
Organism: Sapajus apella (tufted capuchin)
Lineage: Eukaryota; Metazoa; Chordata; Mammalia; Primates; Cebidae
Exons: 3
Source: RefSeq, a predicted model, not a curated record
GCUUCAAUACAAUUAAUGGGAGAUCUUAAGCAGGAGUGACCCGAUUAGUUCUGUUUCUGAAGCUUCUGAGACUGUGGUGAAAAAAUUGUAAAGGACACAGAAAAGUAGGUGUUACUGAGCUCACUUAAGAAGGUAUUUCAGGAAUUUCAGGGUAUUUUGAGACUGGAAUAAGGUGAUUUGGUGAAAUGCAGAUAUUUCACGAAAAACAGUUGGGAAUCCACUGCUUAUUGAUACUCAGCACACAGAAGCACAGGGCUUCCUAAACAUUAGCUAACCCCCAAAACCUCACAACACAAGCCAAAAUAUGAGGUUAAAUAAUAUACCCAGUAUUACGGUGCCAAUAAAUGUACCACAUGUGUCUCACCUCAAAGAAGAGCACUAAACAAGAAUUUAUGAGUGGAUCAGCUUUGGUCUGCCAACCAAAGACACUAAACUGUACAACUCAGAAAUUUUAGUGGCCCAACUACUUAUAAAACCAACCCUUGGCCAGGCGCGAUGG